Molecule: unclassified non-coding RNA, 169 nt
Filed under: soil metagenome
Description: partial internal transcribed spacer 1
Source: RNAcentral
CAGAGUUGCAAAACUCCCUAACCAUUGUGAAACCUACCUUCUACCGUUUCUUCGGCGGGCUGGCCUCAUGCGCCCGCCGCGCACCCUCCUCGGGGGACGCACCCGCCGGAGAUACCCUAAACUCUUGUACAUUAGUGCCUGCUCUGAGUAUGCUUAAACUAAAUAUUCA